This 497-nucleotide ribosomal RNA is filed under the name uncultured bacterium. Its description in RNAcentral is "partial 16S ribosomal RNA". It matches the Rfam family "Bacterial small subunit ribosomal RNA", at positions 28 to 507 of the family's 1533-position model. The record is from RNAcentral.
GAUGAACGCUGGCGGCGUGCCUAAUACAUGCAAGUCGAGCGAACGGACGAGAAGCUUGCUUUUCUGAUGUUAGCGGCGGACGGGUGAGUAACACGUGGAUAACCUACCUAUAAGACUGGGAUAACUUCGGGAAACCGGAGCUAAUACCGGAUAAUAUUUUGAACCGCAUGGUUCAAAAGUGAAAGACGGUCUUGCUGUCACUUAUAGAUGGAUCCGCGCUGCAUUAGCUAGUUGGUAAGGUAACGGCUUACCAAGGCAACGAUGCAUAGCCGACCUGAGAGGGUGAUCGGCCACACUGGAACUGAGACACGGUCCAGACUCCUACGGGAGGCAGCAGUAGGGAAUCUUCCGCAAUGGGCGAAAGCCUGACGGAGCAACGCCGCGUGAGUGAUGAAGGUCUUCGGAUCGUAAAACUCUGUUAUUAGGGAAGAACAUAUGUGUAAGUAACUGUGCACAUCUUGACGGUACCUAAUCAGAAAGCCACGGCUGACUACGUG